Ruditapes philippinarum (Manila clam) is the source of this 877-nucleotide long non-coding RNA. RefSeq lists it as uncharacterized. Lineage: Eukaryota; Metazoa; Mollusca; Bivalvia; Venerida; Veneridae. The transcript has 2 exons. The record is from RefSeq and is a predicted model, not a curated record.
ACAAUUUUUUUGAGGGGGAGAAAAUGUAAAGAUUAAUUGAUGAUUUUUUUUAAAGUAAGUAAAUAGACUGGCAAUGUUGAAAUGAUUAUAUAAAUGACCUUGUAGUGUAGAUGUAUGUUACCAUACUUACUAUGUAUUAAUAGUUGUAGUGGCAUAAAUAGUUGUAUUUAUGUAUGUAAGGACUUUGACAUUUGACAAAUGACGAGACGUCAUUUACCAGAGAGGGGGAGUGUGUGGCAGGGUCUUAUUUAGUGGUCUAAGCCCUAUUCAUUAUUUAUUUAGUUAUCUUCAACCUUGGUUUUAUCUCCAUUCUGAUUGGUUGAUAAAACUACUCACUCAAGUAGAGCGCGGUGUUUGAUACUUGUGGAAGACAUGUUGAUUUAUUUUGGAAUGGAAAUGAUUUAACUAUUUGUGGGUUACUAAAUUUGGUAUGUAUUUUAUUUGUUUAAUGUAUUCAUAUAUGCAGUAUACUUUAUUCUUCAUGUGGAGUUGUUAGCAUUUAAGUAAAUGCUUUCUGUAAGCGUCUGUGACUCAUUUUAUUUAUUGACAUAAAGCGAUUAUACAUGUACUUCAAAAUGGCAGUAUUUACUCUAACAAUUAUUAAUAAUAAUAUAACAUCUUAACAAUGUCACAUUCCUGAAACCUGUGCACGUGAUUCUUAUUUUGAUUGCAGUUUAACAGUUGAAGGGUAUGCACAGUUCACGGGAGAGUGUUGUUUGUGUGAGCAGGUCCAUAACUUGGUCACUGACUAUACCACUUUAUUCGACUGCUGUAAUGCUGUAUACUGUGUACUUUUAUGAUAGACUGUAAUGUAUUUGAACUUAAGUGAACAGUGACACAUUUACAAUUUAAAGAAAAUAAAAGAAGAACCCAGAAA